Molecule: ribosomal RNA, 727 nt
Filed under: uncultured Actinomycetales bacterium
Lineage: Bacteria; Bacillati; Actinomycetota; Actinomycetes; Actinomycetales
Description: bacterial SSU rRNA
Rfam family: Bacterial small subunit ribosomal RNA
Source: RNAcentral
CUCAGGACGAACGCUGGCGGCGUGCUUAACACAUGCAAGUCGAACGGAAAGGCCUUUUCGGAGGUACUCGAGUGGCGAACGGGUGAGUAACACGUGGGUGAUCUGCCCUGCACUCAGGGAUAAGCCUGGGAAACUGGGUCUAAUACCGGAUAGGACCGCACUUUAGUGUGUGUGGUGGAAAGUUUUUUCGGUGUAGGAUGAGCCCGCGGCCUAUCAGCUUGUUGGUGGGGUAAUGGCCUACCAAGGCGGCGACGGGUAGCCGGACUGAGAGGUUGGUCGGCCACAUUGGGACUGAGAUACGGCCCAGACUCCUACGGGAGGCAGCAGUGGGGAAUAUUGCACAAUGGGCGCAAGCCUGAUGCAGCGACGCCGCGUGGGGGAUGACGGCCUUCGGGUUGUAAACUCCUUUCGCCAGGGACGAAGCGUUUUGUGACGGUACCUGGAGAAGAAGCACCGGCUAACUACGUGCCAGCAGCCGCGGUAAUACGUAGGGUGCAAGCGUUGUCCGGAAUUACUGGGCGUAAAGAGCUCGUAGGUGGUUUGUCACGUCGUCUGUGAAAUUCCACAGCUUAACUGUGGGCGUGCAGGCGAUACGGGCUGACUUGAGUACUGUAGGGGUAACUGGAAUUCCUGGUGUAGCGGUGAAAUGCGCAGAUAUCAGGAGGACACCGAUGGCGAAGGCAGGUUACUGGGCAGUUACUGACGCUGAGGAGCGAAAGCAUGGGUA